Molecule: long non-coding RNA, 125 nt
Organism: Haliotis rubra (blacklip abalone)
Lineage: Eukaryota; Metazoa; Mollusca; Gastropoda; Lepetellida; Haliotidae
Exons: 3
Source: RefSeq, a predicted model, not a curated record
UAUAUUUGAAAGUACAUUUAGGUUAUUUUCUUCAAUUUGACGACUUUGGUAAUACAGAGAAUAUUAUAGUCGUGCCCAUGUCAUACGCUAUGUUUACGACGCUCGUGCCUAAAUAUCGGUAAUAC